AACGAACGCUGGCGGCGCGUUUUAAGCAUGCAAGUCGAACGGUAGUAUGGCUUCGGCCAUAUGAGAGUGGCGAACGGGUGAGUAACACGUAGGUGAUCUACCGCGAGGUUGGGGAUAGCUCAUGGAAACAUGGGGUAAUACCGAAUGAGCUCUUAUGACUAUGGUUAUGAGAGGAAAGGGGCUUUGGCCUCGCCUUGUGAUGAGCCUGCGGCUGAUUAGGUAGUUGGUGGGAUAACGGCCUACCAAGCCGACGAUCAGUAGCCGGCCUGAGAGGGUGACCGGCCACACUGGGACUGAGAUACGGCCCAGACUCCUACGGGAGGCAGCAGCUAAGAAUCUUCCGCAAUGGACGAAAGUCUGACGGAGCGACGCCGCGUGGGCGAAGAAGGCCGUGAGGUUGUAAAGCCCUUUUCUACUUGAGGAAUAAGUCCCAGAGGGAAUGCUGGGAUGAUGACGGUAGGGUAGGAAUAAGCCCCGGCUAAUUACGUGCCAGCCGCCGCCGUAACAC
This 508-nucleotide ribosomal RNA is filed under the name uncultured bacterium. RNAcentral's name for it is "bacterial SSU rRNA". It matches the Rfam family "Bacterial small subunit ribosomal RNA", at positions 29 to 526 of the family's 1533-position model. The record is from RNAcentral.